This 443-nucleotide ribosomal RNA is filed under the name uncultured bacterium. RNAcentral's name for it is "bacterial SSU rRNA". It matches the Rfam family "Bacterial small subunit ribosomal RNA", at positions 64 to 524 of the family's 1533-position model. The record is from RNAcentral.
GAGCGGAAAGGCCCUUCGGGGUACUCGAGCGGCGAACGGGUGAGUAACACGUGAGCAACCUGCCCCUGGCUAUGGGAUAGCCUCCGGAAACGGGGAUUAAUACCGGAUAUGACUGCCUCCUGCAUGGGGGGUGGUGGAAAGUUUUUCGGCUGGGGCGGGGCUCGCGGCCUAUCAGCUUGUUGGGGGGGUGACGGCCCACCAAGGCGACGACGGGUAGCCGGCCUGAGAGGGCGACCGGCCACACUGGGACUGAGACACGGCCCAGACUCCUGCGGGAGGCAGCAGUGGGGAAUAUUGCGCAAUGGGCGGAAGCCUGACGCAGCGACGCCGCGUGGGGGAUGAAGGCCUUACGGGUUGUAAACCUCUUUCACCAGGGACGAAGCGGAAGUGACGGUACCUGGGGAAGAAGCGCCGGCUAACUACGUGCCAGCAGCCGCGGUAAU